UAAAACGUAGGACACAAGCGUUAUCCGGAGUUACUGGGCGUAAAGGGCGUGUAGGCGGAUCGGUAAGUCUACUCUGAAAGCUCCUGGCUAAACUGGGAGAGGCGAGUGGAGACUGUCGGUCUAGAGUGAGGAAGAGGAAAGUGGAAUUCCGCGUGUAGUGGUGAAAUGCGUAGAGAUGCGGAGGAACACCAGUGGCGAAAGCGGCUUUCUGGUCCUUAACUGACGCUGAGGCGCGAAAGCAUGGGGAGCGAACGGGAUUAGAAACCCCGGUAGUCCAUGCCGUAAACGAUGUUCACUAAACGUUCGUUUCCCGCGAGGGAAGUGGGUGUUGAAGCUAACGCAGUAAGUGAACCGCCUGGGGAGUACGGUCGCAAGGCUA
Molecule: ribosomal RNA, 379 nt
Filed under: uncultured bacterium
Lineage: Bacteria
Description: bacterial SSU rRNA
Rfam family: Bacterial small subunit ribosomal RNA
Source: RNAcentral